CUUUUGAUUGAAUGAAAUUUUCUGCUGAGACUUGCUUAAGCCAACUUUCCUUCCGAAAGUCUCUCCUAGCUUAAAUCUUUCUCUACAACUUCCUUCCUUGUAUGAAAGGCUGCCUGAGUUGUAGCCACCUCCUAAGCAUAGCCUCCAUUUCCACAUCUCCAUAAAUUACACCUACUUCCGCUGCCAUGGACAUUUCCUCUGCUGCCUCUGACC
RNAcentral lists this long non-coding RNA (213 nucleotides) under Vigna radiata. Its description in RNAcentral is "long non-coding RNA (VRAD_LNC003621)". The record is from RNAcentral. Lineage: Eukaryota; Viridiplantae; Streptophyta; Magnoliopsida; Fabales; Fabaceae.